This 763-nucleotide ribosomal RNA is filed under the name Gilia reticulata. RNAcentral's name for it is "partial 16S ribosomal RNA". It matches the Rfam family "Bacterial large subunit ribosomal RNA", at positions 1834 to 2491 of the family's 2925-position model. The record is from RNAcentral. Lineage: Eukaryota; Metazoa; Cnidaria; Hydrozoa; Siphonophorae; Prayidae.
CGCUGAUAAGUAUAGGGGGUGCUACCUGCUCAGUGGCCUGCAAGUAUUCAACAGAAAUGUUGAUCAAGUAGGUUAAACAGCCGGGGAAAGCCUAAACCCUGUGAAAUAAGCAUAAUCUGAUACCGUUUGAUUGGCGGGGUGUUGAAUGGACGAACGAGCGCAAGACUGUCUCAGGUAAAGGAGAAAUGAAAUUGACAUGAUAGUGCAGAGGCUAUCAAAAAUAGAAAGACGAGAAGACCCCGUGAAGCUUUACUAUAGCUAGUUAUAAAUCACUAACUUUGGGUAUAAAAAUCAUUAAUGUUGGCGUUGUUGACGCAAACUUUUUGUAAUAAAGCCUAUAUUUUGGUUUAAAAGCCAGGAGUUAAGGGAGGUGAAUAAAUGUCUGGUUGUUAGUUUGGGUGGGGUGCCCGCACAUUAUAUAGAAACAUGGAGUUAUCAAUCGUUAAAGAUUUACAGACUGAGUAGGCUACACACUUACACAGAGACAAAAGUCGGAAAAAUGACCCGCUUUAUACUUACGUGCAGUAAUUACCCGCCUAACUAUAUCUCGGUAUCUUUUUGAUAAUACUGAAUAUAAUUAAGUGACAUGAGGGGGAUAGUGACCUAAAUCAGCCCGAGGUUUUAAGGGUUUUAAGGUUGACAUGGUUAUCUAUUACCCCAGAUAACAUGUAAAAGUAAGAAAAUGCAUUGUAUAAUACAAGUAAAUAAAAUUAUGGGCCGACAAAGGAUAAAAGUUACUCCGGGGAUAACAGGCUAAUUGAGA